This 442-nucleotide ribosomal RNA is filed under the name uncultured bacterium. Its description in RNAcentral is "partial 16S ribosomal RNA". It matches the Rfam family "Bacterial small subunit ribosomal RNA", at positions 338 to 795 of the family's 1533-position model. The record is from RNAcentral.
CCUACGGGCGGCAGCAGUGGGGAAUAUUGGGCAAUGGGCGCAAGCCUGACCCAGCAAAGCCGCGUGAAGGAAGAAGGCUCUAGGGUUGUAAACUUCUUUUUAGAGGGAAGAGCAGAAGACGGUACCUCUUGAAUAAGCCACGGCUAACUACGUGCCAGCAGCCGAGGUAAUACGGAGGUGGCAAGUGUUGUCCGGAUUUACUGGGUGUAAAGGGCGUGCAGCCGGGAAGACAAGUCAGAUGUGAAAGCCCGCGGCUCAACCACGGAACUGCAUUUGAAACUGUUUUUCUUGAGUACCGGAGAGGUCAUCGGAAUUCCUGGUGUAGCGGUGAAAUGCGUAGAUAUAAGGAAGAACACCAGUGGCGAAGGCGGAUGACUGGACGGCAACUGACGGUGAGGCGCGAAAGCGUGGGGAUCAAACAGGAUUAGAUACCCUUGUAGUC